GCAAGUCGAGCGCGACCUUCGGGUUGAGCGGCGGACGGGUUAGUAACGCGUGGGAAUAUGCCCAAAGGUACGGAAUAGCCUCUGGAAACGGAGAGUAAUACCGUAUGUGCCCUUCGGGGGAAAGAUUUAUCGCCUUUGGAUUAGCCCGCGUUAGAUUAGGUAGUUGGUGGGGUAAUGGCCUACCAAGCCUACGAUCUAUAGCUGGUUUUAGAGGAUGAUCAGCAACACUGGGACUGAGACACGGCCCAGACUCCUACGGGAGGCAGCAGUGGGGAAUCUUGGACAAUGGGCGCAAGCCUGAUCCAGCCAUGCCGCGUGAGUGAUGAAGGCCUUAGGGUCGUAAAGCUCUUUCGCCAGGGAUGAUAAUGACAGUACCUGGUAAAGAAACCCCGGCUAACUCCGUGCCAGCAGCCGCGGUAAUACGGAGGGGGUUAGCGUUGUUCGGAAUUACUGGGCGUAAAGCGCGCGUANGCGGAUCGGAAAGUUGGGGGUGAAAUCCCGGGGCUCAACCCCGGAACUGCCUCCAAAACUAUCGGUCUA
RNAcentral lists this ribosomal RNA (540 nucleotides) under uncultured bacterium. Its description in RNAcentral is "bacterial SSU rRNA". It matches the Rfam family "Bacterial small subunit ribosomal RNA", at positions 57 to 643 of the family's 1533-position model. The record is from RNAcentral.